Molecule: ribosomal RNA, 253 nt
Filed under: uncultured bacterium
Lineage: Bacteria
Description: partial 16S ribosomal RNA
Rfam family: Bacterial small subunit ribosomal RNA
Source: RNAcentral
UACGUAGGGGGCAAGCGUUAUCCGGAUUUACUGGGUGUAAAGGGAGCGUAGACGGCAGUGCAAGUCUGAAGUGAAAGGCGGGGGCCCAACCCCCGGACUGCUUUGGAAACUGGUAGACUUGAGUGCAGGAGAGGAGAGUGGAAUUCCAUGUGUAGCGGUGAAAUGCGUAGAUAUAUGGAGGAACACCGGUGGCGAAAGCGGCUCUCUGGCCUGUAACUGACACUGAGGCUCGAAAGCGUGGGGAGCAAACAGG